This 253-nucleotide ribosomal RNA is filed under the name uncultured bacterium. RNAcentral's name for it is "partial 16S ribosomal RNA". It matches the Rfam family "Bacterial small subunit ribosomal RNA", at positions 524 to 776 of the family's 1533-position model. The record is from RNAcentral.
UACGUAGGCAGCGAGCGUUGUUCGGAUUUACUGGGCGUAAAGAGUGCGUAGGCGGUUUUCUAAGUUUGGUGUGAAAUCUCCCGGCUUAACUGGGAGGGUGCGCCGAAGACUGGAAGGCUUGAGUAUGGGAGAGGUAAGCGGAAUUCCUGGUGUAGCGGUGAAAUGCGUAGAUAUCUGGAGGAACACCGGUGGCGAAGGCGGCAUCCUGGACCGGCAUUGACGCUGAGGCGCGAAAGCCAGGGGAGCAAACGGG